AUGGCCAAGCUCAUCACCGCCGCUCAGCCUUUGUUUCCUUAUGGAUACAUGAUGUUGAAAAGAAGAUUGAUGUGUUUUUAUUUGGCUGUUUUUGUGCAAGGUUUGGAGCAGUUUGCAACAAGUUUUUGGACUAAUUUGGGACAGGUUUUUGGAAUAUUUUACAAGGUCAUUUUUUGGUUUAUGCAGGGUUGUUUUUGUAGUUUUGUGGGAAGUAGUAGCAUCAUGCUUUCUUUGAAAUGUUUGAACUAUUUUGGUGCAAAGUUUAGACGGUUUUGGGCAGCAGCACAUUUGACUUGGGCUUAUUUGAAGACUUGA
This is a non-coding RNA of Vicia faba (fava bean), 315 nucleotides long. NCBI's taxonomy places the organism in Eukaryota, Viridiplantae, Streptophyta, Magnoliopsida, Fabales, Fabaceae. The record is from the annotation of a GenBank genome assembly.